RNAcentral lists this ribosomal RNA (253 nucleotides) under uncultured prokaryote. Its description in RNAcentral is "partial 16S ribosomal RNA". It matches the Rfam family "Bacterial small subunit ribosomal RNA", at positions 524 to 776 of the family's 1533-position model. RNAcentral also lists the same sequence under 1 other name. The record is from RNAcentral.
UACGUAGGGGGCAAGCGUUGUCCGGAAUCACUGGGCGUAAAGCGUGCGUAGGCGGUUGUGUAAGUCUGGAGUGAAAGUCCAUGGCUCAACCAUGGGAAUGCUUUGGAAACUGCAUGACUUGAGUGCUGGAGAGGCAAGGGGAAUUCCACGUGUAGCGGUGAAAUGCGUAGAUAUGUGGAGGAAUACCAGUGGCGAAGGCGCCUUGCUGGACAGAAACUGACGCUGAGGCACGAAAGCGUGGGGAGCAAACAGG